GCCUUCGUGAUGUAGUGGUCAGCACGCUAGACACAAAUUCGAGAGGUCCGUGGUUCGAGUCCUGGCGAGGGCA
Molecule: non-coding RNA, 73 nt
Organism: Stegodyphus mimosarum
Lineage: Eukaryota; Metazoa; Arthropoda; Arachnida; Araneae; Eresidae
Source: Rfam